GUUAUGAAAUAUUAUUCAAGUUGCUUUGUAUCUGGUUCUCUGAGAGAUUUAAUUGGUUGUAGUGUUGUUAGGUCAGUAAGCAGGGAUUAGCUUGUUUAUUGUUUAUAUGCGUGAGUAGAUGAUUUUUGUUUGUGAAGUUGAUAGUGCUUAUUUUUAAGGAGUUAUUAUAGGACAGUGGAUUUAGAUUAUUAUUUUGUGGUUGUGUAGUUAUUGGGGUAACGCAUUAAAUUUUUUCUUAGUGGAAUAAUGAUUAUAUUAGUAAUAUUUUAUUUAUUUUAGGUAGAGGCUUUAAAGCGUGUUGAGAGUGAGUGUUUUAAUUUUUAAUUAGAGUAGAUGAAUUCGGCAAAGUUAAUUUUUGACUGUUUAGCAAAGACAUUGUUUUUUGUGGGAUUAAAAAAUAAGUUCUGUCCACUGCUAUUAGGUGAAGGGCUGCAGUAUUUUGACUGUAUGAAGGUAGCAUAAUCAUUAGCUUUUUAAUUGGGGGCUGGUAUGAAGGUGAAACAGAGAUUGUCUAUAUUUAUUUUAUUGCUUGAAUUUUAUAUUUAUGUGAAAAAUCAUAGUUGAAUUAGAGGGACAAGAAGACCCUAGUAAGUUUUAUUUUUUUAUUUUAUGAUGGUAUAGGAAUUAUUUAUUUGAUUGGGGUAGGGGGGUUUAGCUGGGGCGGCUAUUUAUUUAACAUAAGUAAAUUUUUAACUUUGUUUGGC
RNAcentral lists this ribosomal RNA (704 nucleotides) under Nannaria sp. MPE02879. Its description in RNAcentral is "partial large subunit ribosomal RNA". The record is from RNAcentral. Lineage: Eukaryota; Metazoa; Arthropoda; Diplopoda; Polydesmida; Xystodesmidae.